ACCGAUGACCCCACAAUUAAACUUAAUGAAAAUUAACCUUGAUUUCUUUGGACGCUUCACAUAUUUAGUUAACUCCCUACAAAAUAUCUCCUCUUGGUCUACUCUACGCAACCUCACACUUGACACCUAAACUUGAAUUCACAAUCUCCCUAAUCUUAUAUAUCAAAUGGUAAUUUUUAACCUCCCCAAAUGACACUGUCUUCUUCCUAAUUUUGCAACUUGGAAACAAGGGAAUCAUUCUUCAUAACCCUGUUUUCCUCAUACCUUUUGCUAAUCCAUCUCCAGAACCUGUCAUUUUAUGUCUAACUACAUCUCGAUCGUAUCCACUUCUGGUUCACCUGGAUGACUCUAAUAGUUUCCUAACAGGCCUCCCCAAAUCAACCCUUUCCAUAUCAAAUGCACCUACUUGCUCCAACACAUAUUCAUAUGAUCCAUUCUAAGCACUGAAGCCAAAGUUGCCAUCUACCCUUACAAACUUUUCAAAUGCUUUCUGUUGGUUUUAUCUUGGCCUCCAUCUCCUUGCCUUCAUGUACAAUUCCAUUUCAUGUCAUUCUUCUCUUUGAUCUGGCCACAUCAGUUACCCAAAUGCAUCAGGUUCUCUCCAGCCAUGGGCCCUUGACCUGAAAUGCUAACUACCCUCUCUGUUAUGGGAUGAAUUGUGUCCCUCAAAAAUAUGUUUAAUUCUAACCCCCAUAUCUGUGAAUGUGAGCUUAUUUCAGAAUAAGAUCUUCACAGAUGUAAUCAAGUUGCAAUGAGGUCAUUAGGAUGGGCCUGAAUUCAAUAUGACUGUUGUUAGGAUAAGGGAAAAUUUGGACACAGAGGCAUGCAUGCACAAAAGAUAAUGUGGAGAUACAAGGGGAGAAUGCCAUGUCAUGAUGAAGGCCAAGAUUGGAACAUCUUGGCUGCCACAAGCCAAGGAACACUGAAUCAUUCUUGAUAACUCUAUUUUCCUCAUACCUUUUACUAAUCCAUUUCCAGAACCUGUCAUUUUAUGUCUAACUACAUCUCAAUCCUUUACAAUUCUGGUUCACUAAUUGGUCUCCCUAAAUCAACCCUUUCCAUAUCAAAUGCCCCUACUUGCUCCAUCACAAGACUUCUAUCCUAUAGAACUGUGAGAGAAUAAAUGUUUGUUUCUUUAAGUCACUCAGCUUGUGGUUCUUUGUUACAGCAGCCCUAAGAAAGGAACACUCCUUUUCACUCCUUCAUCUUUUAGAUCUCAAUUCAAUAAUCACAGGACACUUUCCAUUUAAAUAUGUGAGUAGUUCAAAUUAUUCAGUCCCUGUUCCAUUCUAGUCUCUCUCAGUGUAAGGAUAUUUGCUGUUUUUUUUUUUUUAAACUUGUUGUUGCAUUUCAACACCUACAUAAUGGCUGUCAUAUAGAACACAAUCAGUAACACAGACCUAAACUUUAAAAAUUAAUAAUUUAUUAUUACAUGCCUAUGUUAUGGGAAUGAAGUGAGAGUUAAAGAGAAAAUGUACACAAAAGCAACUAAUAAAUAUGCAUGUGUGUAUGUGUGUGUGUAUAUAUAUAUAUGCCAGUAUUUCAAUUUAUGAUUGAAUGUAAGUGAUAUUUCAUGAAGCCAUGAAUUCAAUUUUGAAGUAAUGGUGAGGAUAUUUUGUGAUGAGAUGGAUAGCAACAGAAUUCCUUUCUCUUUUUGAGCUUUAUGAUUUAAUUUGCUUGCUAUAUUGAUCUGAAGCAGCAACCUAUUAUUGAAACUAGGACAGAAAAAUACUAGAUUUGGUAGAGACCUGAGCAAUCUGUCAUCUUUGUGAAUAAAACACAAAUAUGACAUGUUUCAGGCACUGAAAUUUCUAAUGAUAUUAACCUCUAGAGAAAUUUGACUCGCUGACCUGAUACUAAAAGAUACAUUCUGCAUCUUCUCUGGGGAAUCUAAGACUUACCCAGGUGAUUAGGCAUUUUAUCAUCACUGGCAAAAUAUCUUUUGGUUGUAUAAUGCAUCUUAUGAAAUUAACAAGUGCAUAGUUAUUUAAUUAGGAUUUUCAGCAGUUAAUUAAAAUAUGUUCUUGAUAUUUAUCUGUUUUCCUUUUCUUUUCUGAAAAUGUAAGUUUAGAUCUCCCCUAUCGAAAAGUUCUUGCACUCUCUGUCCACAAAAACCCUCCCAUAUCAUGCCCUUUCUCUGAAUAGUGUUUUGAGUCAUUAUAUUUUCUCCAAUUAUUUU
This 2179-nucleotide long non-coding RNA is filed under the name Homo sapiens (human). Its description in RNAcentral is "HSALNT0403444". Lineage: Eukaryota; Metazoa; Chordata; Mammalia; Primates; Hominidae. The record is from RNAcentral.